This 90-nucleotide unclassified non-coding RNA is filed under the name Pseudomonas sp. A214. The record is from RNAcentral. Lineage: Bacteria; Pseudomonadati; Pseudomonadota; Gammaproteobacteria; Pseudomonadales; Pseudomonadaceae.
GGUGGGAGCGAGCCUGCUCGCGAAGGCGUCGGCACAUUCAACAUCUUUGCUGACUGAUACACCGCUAUCGCGAGCAGGCUCGCUCCCACA